RNAcentral lists this ribosomal RNA (211 nucleotides) under Pelagodinium bei. RNAcentral's name for it is "Pelagodinium beii partial Bacterial large subunit ribosomal RNA". It matches the Rfam family "Bacterial large subunit ribosomal RNA", at positions 903 to 1112 of the family's 2925-position model. The record is from RNAcentral. Lineage: Eukaryota; Dinophyceae; Suessiales; Suessiaceae.
UAGAGCACUGGAUGGGCUAGGGGGUCCCAACGACUUACCAAACCUAACCAAACUCCGAAUACCAUGGAGUAAUGCGAGGCAGACACACUGCGGGUGCUAAGGUCCGUAGUGGAGAGGGAAACAGCCCUGACCGCCAGCUAAGGUCCCUAAGUUAUCACUAAGUGGGAAACGAUGUGGGAGUGCUUAGACAACCAGGAGGUUGGCUUAGAAG